RNAcentral lists this non-coding RNA (61 nucleotides) under Nitrobacter sp. RNAcentral's name for it is "Fluoride sequence". It matches the Rfam family "Fluoride riboswitch aptamer (crcB RNA motif)". Lineage: Bacteria; Pseudomonadati; Pseudomonadota; Alphaproteobacteria; Hyphomicrobiales; Nitrobacteraceae. The record is from RNAcentral.
GUUCACGUAGGGGAAGGAGUCCCCCGUUUCCCGCCGAGAGGCUGAUGACUCCUGCUGCGUG